Molecule: ribosomal RNA, 442 nt
Filed under: uncultured bacterium
Lineage: Bacteria
Description: SSU rRNA
Rfam family: Bacterial small subunit ribosomal RNA
Source: RNAcentral
AGAGCGAACGCUGGCGGCAGGCCUAACACAUGCAAGUCGAGCGCCCCGCAAGGGGAGCGGCAGGCGGGAGAGUAACACGUGGGAACGUACCCUUCAGUUCGGAACAACCCAGGGAAACUUGGGCUAAUACCGAAUACGUCCGUAAGGAGAAAGAUUUAUCGCUGAAGGAUCGGCCCGCGUCUGAUUAGCUAGUUGGUGAGGUAACGGCUCACCAAGGCUACGAUCAGUAGCUGGUCUGAGAGGAUGAUCAGCCUCACUGGGACUGAGACACGGUCCAGACUCCUACGGGAGGCAGCAGUGGGGAAUUUUGCGCAAUGGGGGAACCCUGACGCAGCAACGCCGCGUGGAGGAUGAAGUCCUUCGGGACGUAAACUCCUUUCGAUCGGGACGAUUAUGACGGUACCGGAAGAAGAAGCCCGGCUAACUUCGUGCCAGCAGCCGC